GGAGAGUAAUCACUAAGAGAUGCUGCCUCAAUGGUGGUGGUCAGCCCUUAAAUGAGGUCUUAGAGGAGGUGGAGUCGAGCUCCAUCCCUUCCAGGAGCACAGCUAGAUUACUCUCACCUGUGCUCCCACAGCUGACCCAACACUUGCCUCAGCUGAUUAAUCAGAGAUUCAGGCUGUGAUUUCCCAUACACCUAGGGAGGUGAAACUGUGAACUGCCAGUCUGUCCUGCUAAUAGGGCCCAUACACUCCGCUUUGCUCGAGAGCUGCUUUUAAACUUGGGUGCUUGCCCUGGCUCCUUGGGAUCUGCAGCCUGCUGCAGUAGAAGAGCUAUGUACUAAUAAGUUCCCAUGAAUAUGCCUUGCUGAAUCAGAAGAGCAGCUCAUCUGCAGCAGGGAGAGCAGGAGGCACUUCUGUUGAAGACUAAAAAGCACAAGCCUACCUCCACUCCAGUCUGUGGGACACAGACUCCUGUAAGGCAUCCUCAGGCAUACAGUUUAAGAGGCAGAAAGCCAAGACUCUACCUGCAGGAUACCAGGUCACACUGGUUCUGAUGAGCUGAGGGCUGGAAACAUUGGAAAACAACAUCUGAAGAAGAGCGAUGGGAACAGAACAUUCUUUGCAUGAGAAGGCUUCAUCAGCUAUACAAAGAAACAGCAUGGCUAAUUGGUCAGUCACAGGUUGUGCUCAAUGGGCAAACUUAACCACACCUUCAAUAUCUGCAUCACUUGAAUCUAUGAAACAGAUUGAAAGAACUGCAAGAACAUUUGGUAUCUUGACAUUUCAGGUACUUUUAUCCAAAUCCAGGAAGAACAAGAACAUACAACACUGAAAAAUUAUAAUAAAAGUACACGACCAUUUUCA
Molecule: long non-coding RNA, 861 nt
Filed under: Coturnix japonica (Japanese quail)
Lineage: Eukaryota; Metazoa; Chordata; Aves; Galliformes; Phasianidae
Description: lncRNA (ENSCJPG00005016558.1)
Source: RNAcentral